UACGGAGGGUGCGAGCGUUGUUCGGAAUUACUGGGCGUAAAGGGUGCGCAGGCCGCGCGGGCAGUCAAAUGUGUAAUCCAGGGGCUCAACCCCUGAACUGCGCUUGAUACUUCCGCGCUCGAGCUUUGGAGAGGAGUCUGGAAUUCUCGGUGUAGCAGUGAAAUGCGUGGAUAUCGAGAAGAACACUUAGGGCGUAGGCAAGACUCUGGACAAAUGCUGACGCUCAUGCACGAAGGCUAGGGUAGCGAACGGG
RNAcentral lists this ribosomal RNA (253 nucleotides) under uncultured bacterium. RNAcentral describes it as "partial 16S ribosomal RNA". It matches the Rfam family "Bacterial small subunit ribosomal RNA", at positions 524 to 776 of the family's 1533-position model. The record is from RNAcentral.